RNAcentral lists this unclassified non-coding RNA (337 nucleotides) under soil metagenome. Its description in RNAcentral is "partial contains 5.8S ribosomal RNA, internal transcribed spacer 2, and large subunit ribosomal RNA". The stretch from base 1 to 120 matches the Rfam family "5.8S ribosomal RNA", at positions 35 to 154 of the family's 154-position model. The record is from RNAcentral.
GAUGAAGAACGCAGCGAAAUGCGAUAAGUAGUGUGAAUUGCAGAAUUCAGUGAAUCAUCGAAUCUUUGACCGCACAUUGCGCCCCUUGGUAUUCCAUGGGGCAUGCCUGUUCGAGCGUCAUUUGUACCCUCCAGCCAUGCUGGGUAUUGGGCGUUUUGUUCCGCUACGCGCGUGAACUCGCCUCAAAUGCAUUGGCAGCCCGCCGUCCCGUGUGGGAGCGCAGCACAUUUUGCGCUCUCCGCUGCUGACGGUGGCAUCCACAAGUCUACCAUUUUACGCUUGACCUCGGAUCAGGUAGGGAUACCCGCUGAACUUAAGCAUAUCAAUAAGCGGAGGA